Molecule: long non-coding RNA, 1260 nt
Organism: Schistocerca piceifrons (Central American locust)
Lineage: Eukaryota; Metazoa; Arthropoda; Insecta; Orthoptera; Acrididae
Exons: 2
Source: RefSeq, a predicted model, not a curated record
GGCGCCGCAAGCAGGCCGCCGCCGACUCUAGUUUUAAGGACCGGACGAACCAAAGAGAUCUGGAAGGCAGCGGCAGCGCGGAGCCCGCGGAAAGACUGACGGCGGAGGCGGCGGCGGCCGCGGCGGAGGCGACGACGGUCCGCCCGCAAUGACUCACGGCACCCCUGUGGCUCGCCGCGGCCAGCGUUCUCCACUCGACUCGCGACACCCUGCGUGCUCACACUCUCUCCACACACAGACUCUUUUAUAAAUAGAUUUACAAGAGAAACUGUGCUGUAGCGAAGAUCGAAGAAAGGAACGAAAUACAUGAAAGACGUCAAUGUUUACUAUUGUGGUAUCACGUUUCACUCAAGAGCAAGACGGAACUACUCAGGGACAUUGUAACGAUAGAAAUGAAACGUGCGGAUGACACAGACCAUACGCGAGGCAUUUUUGUGUUGGAGUAGGUCAAAAUACUUUUGCCAGAGACCGAGUUGUAAAUUGUGGAAAGCAAUUAACAUCCAGAGGAUCAACGACAAAUAUUUCCUAGAAGAUUAACAAUAUAUUUGGAGCUAAUGUUCCUGGGCCGUAGGUGCAUCAUAAAAAAAUAUAAUAAAAGAGAGAGAGAGACAGUGCCAUAAUUGCUUCUGCAGUAACGGCUUUUCCACGUCUCAUAAGAGACGCCCAAAGCGAAAAAGCUCAUUGUAUGGGUUUCAGUUUCCCUGUUGAUUUUGUCAUGCAGUAUGUAAUUAUUUUUAGGAUAUCAAAUACCUUAAAAUUAUGGCAAACGAAAAUAUCAAUUAAAUUCGUUCAGCAUAAUUAUUUGUACAUACAAUAUUGUAAUAAUGAGCAUGGAAAAAUCAUUUGAGUGUGCCGUAGAAAAAACAGACAACUAACUUUUCUCUAAUAGGUGUUAAAACACCUUGCUUACAGUAACAGCUGUGUCGGUGGAAGGGGCGUAUCUUCUGCAAUUUUUCUGAAAACUAAUUAUGACACAAUGGCACUAGAAUAAAAAAUAUUUUUGUCAUGUAUGUUCGUGAGUAUUGUAUGAAGAACAGUAAACAUAUUUAAGAAUUUAUCACACUAUGAAAUUAAGGUGUGUUUUAGUAUUACCUACUGUGAAAUUGAAUGUCAGUAAACCGAUAAUUUUAAAGGUCAAAAAGUAACUUAAAAUAGUGUACAAUUUUCGUACUAACUUUCUAACAUUUAUGUACAACAAAAUAACUAUUCUUCAAGAUUAUUGAACUGAAAAAAAAAAACAAAAAACGAAAUCAUCUUCAU